CAGUAGCCACGGUAAUACGUAGGGUGCAAGCGUUAAUCGGAAUUACUGGGCGUAAAGCGUGCGCAGGCGGUUAUAUAAGACAGAUGUGAAAUACCCGGGCUCAAACUGGGAACUGCAUUUGUGACUGUAUAGCUAGAGUAUGGCAGAGGGGGGUAGAAUUCCACGUGUAGCAGUGAAAUGCGUAGAGAUGUGGAGGAAUACCGAUGGCGAAGGCAGCCCCCUGGGCCAAUACUGACGCUCAUGCACGAAAGCGUGGGGAGCAAACAGGAUUAGAUACCCCCGUAGUCCCUGUCUCUUAUAC
RNAcentral lists this ribosomal RNA (301 nucleotides) under uncultured bacterium. RNAcentral's name for it is "partial 16S ribosomal RNA". It matches the Rfam family "Bacterial small subunit ribosomal RNA", at positions 509 to 807 of the family's 1533-position model. The record is from RNAcentral.